GGCAUUUUAACCUGGACCCGAAAACCCGAACCGGAACCGACCCGAAAUCACAGGUCCAGGUACAGGUACAAGUAUGUGUAGAUUAACCUGUUGGAUAUUUUAUUCAUAGACCCGUGGGUACAGGUUCGGAUCCGGGUAAGACCCGAUACCCGAACGGGUAUUAAUGGAACCGAAAAAACACAAAUAGGCGUGCUUCAAGACUUCAAGUUACAGCACGUCACUUAAUGUUUUGUCUCAAACCUCGGUA
RNAcentral lists this long non-coding RNA (247 nucleotides) under Brassica rapa (field mustard). RNAcentral's name for it is "long non-coding RNA (BRAP_LNC002125)". The record is from RNAcentral. Lineage: Eukaryota; Viridiplantae; Streptophyta; Magnoliopsida; Brassicales; Brassicaceae.